This is a long non-coding RNA of Solanum tuberosum (potato), 716 nucleotides long. RefSeq lists it as uncharacterized. The transcript is spliced from 3 exons. NCBI's taxonomy places the organism in Eukaryota, Viridiplantae, Streptophyta, Magnoliopsida, Solanales, Solanaceae. The record is from RefSeq and is a predicted model, not a curated record.
UCGGAGGUAUGGGAUCAGAGAUUUGAGUAUCACGGUUGACCCCCAUACUAAAACGAUUGAAAUCAGAUAGAAGACUGUUUUGUAUGAUGGCCUGCGUGAGGAGGCUCAGGCGUCAAUCCAAAUCAAAUGGUUUUGAUCUUGUUGAAUGUCGAUUCAAAGAGCUCAAACCUAUCCUUGAGGCAGAGCAGAAGGCGGAAGAGGCAGAGAUACCUGAAAAGAGUGGAGAAUGUAGCUAGCUUGGUGGAAGCGGCCAUCGGUGACGAGAUCUUACAUCAGGACAAUUUACUGAUCAACAAACUUCUUGCUUCAUCAUCAAUGGAGACUUGCUCAUCUUCCUGAACUGAAUUUUAAUCUCGGAUAGUUCAUCUUCCUGGUAUAUCAAGUGUGUUUAGUCUUCUGACCUUCCAAUUUUAGGUAAGUUCUUCAUCAAUUUUUUGGUCCUUCUCUCAUAUAUGUAUCUUUUUUUCUUCUUACUCAUAUAGCUAUUUGUUAGAAAUUAUGAUUUCAAGGAAGUUGGCUUGAGACACCGAUGUGCUUUGUGAAGUUCAUAUAGGCAGUGAUUUUUAGGGGUGAUCCUUGAUGACUAGUCGUUCAUUCUGAGAUUUCUGCAUUGCUUUAUGUUAUCUGCAUUUUGUUUCUAUCUAAGAGAAUGUAGUCGACAUUUUGCCAAUGUAUUAUGACUAAGAAGUUUCCAUUCUAACCGUUUAUCUCACAUG